Long non-coding RNA from Homo sapiens (human), 8614 nucleotides. Ensembl annotates it as MAGI2 antisense RNA 3. Its record names the gene MAGI2-AS3. NCBI's taxonomy places the organism in Eukaryota, Metazoa, Chordata, Mammalia, Primates, Hominidae. The record is from Ensembl.
GGGAGCCGGGAAGGAGGGGAGCCUAGGCCCGGCGUGGGGAGGCCGGCAGGAAGGGCCUCGAGCCCAGUGCGGACCUUUCUUCAGCCUCUGUGCGACCGAGCCGCGCGCCAGGCUCCUGUGCGAGGAGGACGCGCUGACUCCCUCCGACCUGGGCUCCGAUGGAGCAGAAAUAGCGGGACCUGGACUUGUGGCGCGCCUGGUGCCACAUCUCGGGCUCUGCGAGCGUCCUGGCGCGGGAUCCUGCCGUUUGCAUCCAAGAGAGGGGAGGACAGGGGCAAAAGGAUGCAGGGAGGCUGCUGAUUUCCACUGAAGAGCUAAUUUCCUGUGAGACAUUAACAGUGAUUUAAGAAAAAGAUUCCUGUAACUGGUAAAUGAAUUUCAUUUGCUUAACUUUUAGAUGAUAUGUUUCAGGCAAAAAAAAAGUUGUGCACCCACUUAUCUCUUUAAAGCGGAGGAUGAAAAGCAUUGAAUAGGUAGGAUUCUUAAUGUCUGAGAUGAAGGCGAUGUAGGAGGCAAACAAUACGGUUAAAAAUGUUGAGUCGACCCAAACAGAAAGACCAGGUUUCAAUCCAGACUCUGCGGCUUACUGAGAAUAUGAUCUUGAGUAAACUGCUUGACCUUCCUGAGCCUCAGCUUUCUUAGUUGUUAAAUGGACUUUAACAAUACUAAUCUGUUAGGACUGUGGUGAGGAUGAAAUCAGGGAAAUCAGUCACAGCAGUGCUCUCCUGGCACAGGUGAGUAGGAGUUCGAAAUGAUAAUUCCCUCCUCUUUCCCUCUUAGGUAUAACUUACUACUUGGGGAUGAGGGGGAUCAAAUGUAGUCAGAACUGGAAGAGAUCUUAAAAAAAGAUGAUUUGUUUAACCUUGUGUCUUUUUUUCACUUGAGAAAACAGAUCCUCCGUAAGUUGGCUGCACUAGUUGAAGCUUAUUCAGUGAGCCAGGGGCAGUGCCAGGAUCUGAAGCCAGAGCUGCAGGCAAUGCCCAGGAGUAGGCAAGACUUGAUAGCAAAGCCUAAUCUCACCCAGAGAAGUUGAGUGUUAGCAUUAUGAGGCAUAGUUCUAAAUGGAAACUCAUCAUGAGAACCGAAUAUAUACAUAUUGUAAAACCAAAUGACAAGCUACCAUUCAUGGAAUAUACUAAUAUUUAUUAGGUUCUAACUACAUGCAAGAUGUUGUUUUAUAGGCUUUACACAUAAUACUUAAUUUCUCCUGACAUUUUGAUAAAAUAGGUACUGUUAUCUCCUUUUACAGGUAAGGAAACUGAGGUAUACAAGGAUGAACUUUUGCAAGGCUACAAAUCUUGUUAAUAGUGAAGCUAACGUUCAGACCCAAGUGGUUCGGCUCUAGACUUUGUCUCAGUUACUGAAUUGAACUCUCUGUGCACUUACGAUGUGUCAUACCAGUUCUCACUACAUAGUGUCCCAAAAGAUUGGGCCUGCUCUUUCUUUCAGAGACAAUUAGGAAAAAAGUAAACAAACGGAGCAGGAUUUGGGCAUAACAGCAUGCUCCUCCCAUCCCCCAAAUCCCAGGAGUGUCACUGAGGUCAGUGCCAGUUAACUUAGUGCUCUUCAACUUCACAGCUACCCUUCUUUGCCCUAAAUUGUGACAUUAGAGCUGAAAUCUGUAAACGUCUUUAUGGUCAGUUGGCACAGUGUUUAGCUUUGUCAAUAGAAGGUGCUAGGGGAACACUGCAGAAAGAAAGGGGCUCCUUUUCUUGGUUCCAGUGCUUUCCUGCUUGCUCCUACGGUGUGGUGGCCAGUGAGUGACUUUCUGACCAGUGGUGUGCAAGAAGGCCAUGUUACAUAAUCUUCAGUAAAUUUGGCCAGUUCCCUAGUAUGUGUCUUUCUAUGGAGUACCACUGGCAUGUCAGUGGAAUGGCUUCCUAGCAAGUUUUACUGAAAACACAGCUGAUGGUUUCCUCAGCAGCCCAGUGUGUGACACCUUAAAUUUCUGGAUCAUUAAGUGGACCACAGCCAUAUUAUUUCCAAUGAGCGCCUACUUUCAGGCUUAGUAGGGUGGAGGGUGGGUAGGGGGAAGUUCUACUCAGUUAUUCCCUCCUUGGGUACUCUCCUAGAGCCUGAGAGAUAGUGGCUGUUCCCAAUAACCACUAUUACUGUAUUCUUUAGUGGGAUUUUUUCCUGUCCUAAUAGUCAAUACCCUUUGACUGGAUCUUAACUGAUAAAAGUGGAACCCUGAGGAAAGCACUAUCCUUGGAGUCAGAAAUUGGGAUCAGAUUUUUUUUCUUUCUCUUAUGGUAUUCCUCAUAUUCGCUUAAUUUCUCCACUGCCUUUACCCUUUUUGGAUUUGAUGCUAUGUCAAGAAAAAAUUAUUUCAUCACUGAGCACUCUGAGUGUAGAGCAGAGUGCUAAAUAUUGCAUGCUAUUCCAGAAGAAAAAUAGUUUAGGAAUCCUAAAAGCCAAAGAAAGAAAGAUAUGAAUGCAUUCAGUUCUUAGAAGAGUUCUAUGAGAUAGAUGCUUGUGGCAGACAUAGUCUCCACCCAGAUCUCCUAGGAUCCCUUUGGUUGAAUCUGAGUAUCCUUCCUCUAGCUUCUGUGUUCUUUUACUUCUCACAGCCUGCCCCGAGAAUCUCUUUGGAGGAAGGCCCAAACACUACUAGACUCACUUUGUGUACUGGCAUAGAGAGCCAGACAGAACCACCUGCAAGUUUACUUCUUUCCCAGGAUACCCUUUGCCAAGGACUUUCCUAUAGAGUAUAAAAGACCAGCCGUCUUGCCUCUAGUAGCAAGAAAACCUGAGGUGUAAUUUACACCCUGAGGCUCCCCUAUAGAAUUAUAUUGAUGUUAAUAUUUUGCCUGAAACCACCUUCUUCCCUAUCUUGCUUACUGUGGUACCUGAUGAGUUUUUCUUGGUAGCAUUUCUAUAAUAAAUCACUUGCAGACAAUCUUCAUCUCAGGGUUUGAUCCUGGGGAUCCUGACUUAAGACAUUGCUAUUCUUUUUUUUUUUUCUUUUACAGAUGAGGAAACUGAGGAUCAGGGCUUUUAAAUUGCCCCAAAUCACACUACUAAUAAGAGAUAGAGUUGUGGUACCUUUUUUAGAGGGACCAUUAUUCUGCUGACUGCAGUACUGUAGAGCAUAAAGUUUCUUAUCCACACUGUUUCUUAGUUCAGUCUGUCAAUAUCACUACUCCACGAUUAUUGUUGUUUGUUUUUCUUUCUCCCUGUCUUUUACCUCAAAAAUCUCUAUUGUGAUGCCAGAGAGACCUUUCUGAAACCUCUCCUUUUUUCUGUGUUUAAAACCCCCCAGUGCCGCCCAUGAAAUACACAGCAAAGUCCAAACUCCUUAUCUUGCUUGGAUCCUCCUUUCCACCCUUUUUAACUGUUCAGCCAUAUUUCUCCAUGUACUUCUGAGAUUGGAACCCAGGGCAACAAAGCUAAUGUGGGUUCUCCAAGAUUAACACAACUGAAAGGAGGCCCCUUUAUGCCAUCUAUUCUAGGUCCCUUGGAAUAUAAUUAAAAACAGGAAUUUCAACAUUGAAAUGUAAUGAUGUUCAGGUAAGGGCAGUAAGGUACAUUGACUUGAGUCAAUCUCCCACCAUGUCUGGGGACUGGGACAGCUGAGCCAGGGGUCCUACCUAAGGGUCAGGCCUGUGUCUUCACUUCUCCUUUCAACCCUUUACUUCUUCCAGAGUUGAACGGCUUACUUUCCUUCUCUCACUAGGCCAUUUCAUGGCUUGUGUUUGCCUGAAAUACAACUCUUUCCCUCCCUGGUCUACACCUGCUCACCCUGAAAGAAAUACCUCUGAGCCCACUUUCUUUCUUGGAAGCAUUUUAUGACUCUUAUUUCUGUUAUCAACACAGCUUUUAUUUAUGUCUCCAUGUAUCCUUUGAAGAAACACAACUUUUCAGGUUCUAUGUUUUAUUUGCAUUCUUAGUGUCUGGCACAUUGUCUGACACAGUGUAAAAGCUGAGUAGAAUUUUGCCUGAUAGCAGAUGUGCCUGAAGUGAGGGUGUCCAAAAUUUCAUUAAAUGACGACUGCUUUAAUAUGAAUUCUUGGCUAAGGCAGGAGAAUCGCUUGAACCCAGGAGGCAGAGGUUGCAGUGAGCCGAGAUCACACCACUGCACUCCAGCCUGUAAUGUCUUACAAUAACAGAAUGCAGGAGAGCACAUAUCAAUGAAGAAAAGACAAAAUGUACUUAUCCAUGAAGCUGAGGUUAAGAAACCAGUGUCUUCAAGAGCCAGGGACAGCACUGGGUCUGUGCAGAGUUGAGAGAUGGUGAUGACAUGUGGUUUCCAGCAUUCCUCACCCAGUCCAGGGACACUGUGGGUGUGCCCAGCUUAAGUCCAGUAACUGGAAAUACAAGCCCAAGUUCUGGAGAGUUUGAGCUGCAGAGAUAUAUAUGGGAACACUUUGAAUCUUGACUCAUUGGCCAUAACCAGCAGAGUGGAAAAUACAAGAAGAGAAAAAAACAUUGAACUGCGAUUUUAUAACAUCCUUUACUAGGCAGAGAGAAGAGGAAACACCAGGAAAGAAAACUGUAUUACGAUGUGAAAACUUAAUGUUGAGAAAUUCAGGCAUCUUGGGGUUAGUGAGGAGAAGUUUUAGGGGCUUAGAUUCUUCUAAACACAUGUACAGAAAUGCAUAUUUCAUCUGAUAUCAAAUGGCAUUUAUAGUGCUAAUCUUUACCUCAAGACUUCACAUCUUUUGGUGAUUGCAUCUUUUAGGUUUAUAGCAGCUAAGUUUGCAUGAAAACACCAGGGCUGUUUCAUUUCAGUCAAGAAUUAAUGUUCAUUGAUUGUGCUUCUGCAUUUCAUGUAACUAUUGUAGAAUUUGUUUUAGUUUUAUGAGGGAAUAAUUGUUCCAACUUCUAUAUAACUCAGGAAUUUACUCUCAAACAACACUGUCAAUUAGUUACUUAUCUCUCUGGAAAUGAUCUGGGAACAUGGAGAGGAAAGGGAGGAAGGGGCAAAAUCUGACCACUUAAAUCUAAGCAUAUUAGAUCAUUUUAUGCUAGAAAGUCCUGAAUGAUGUGACUUUCGUUCUUGUAAAACACCUCUUUCCAUAGAUUCAUGGCCCAAACAGUAUAUAAAGAGUGGGGAAGGAACUGCAUUUGCAAAUAGUUCAAAUCAUUGCUCCAUCUUAACUACGCAGUUCACAAAGUGUGAAGAAAUGUGAUCAUCUCAAAAAAGAUAAUGGGGAAAAAAUAUGUUUUGUUCUGUGACUUUAAAGUCUUGCAAUAUUUUACAUAAAUGAUAAUGGGUGCUUUAAUAAGAACUCUUGAUACUUUUGUUAUUGUAUUCAAUAUAUGCAUAUAAUACAACAGGAUGAUAUUGUUUUGGAUUUGGAAAUGUAUUCUUUCUUAUGCAAUCUUAUGCAGUCAUACUGCUUGAAUAUCAUUACCUGAAUUUAUCUUUCUUUUUUUUGUUGUUGUUUUACACUCUACUUAUUUGGUGCCUGUCAGUCUUUUGUCGUCAGUUUAUAUUCUACUAAACUCAAAAAGACAAUCUCAUACCUUUUGUAAUUGUAGGCAUUCUUUACUAGAUUUUUAAAUACACUUCAAAAAUUCAAGUACUUUGAUUUCAUGCCAUCAAGUAGCUGAAUCUAUCCCCCCGUCUCUUUUUAAAUUUAAGUGAGUAGUUCAAUUUCUGUCACUUUCUACUUUGUGAAUUCUAAAUCUUUUAAAACCAUCUUGCCAUUUUUCGUGCACUUACCCUUACAGAAAACUCUGUGAAACACUACUUAUCUCUACUUUUAUGUUUUUAACUCCUUUUUUAUAUUACUAUUCCCUCUGCUUUCUAAAUGCACAUAUUAAUUUGUUCUUUUUAUUCUCUGUAGCUCUUCUCAGUGUAUGAAUUCAGUUUCCCAUCAGUCUCCAUACAAUUAAAAAAAAGUUGAGUAUUCUGUUAUUUUAAUAAGAUAUCUAGUGCCCAUAUUCUAAUUCUGCCCCUUAUUUUUAAUAUAAUUUUAUUGUUGAUUUAAAAUGACAACAGUUUCAAUUCCCAGAAAGUGAAAGGAAACAAAGGAAUAAUAUUAUAGGCUUAAUUUUUAUCAGUGAACUUGUAGGUGAAGAAAAGAUUUGGGGAAGGAAAUGAACAUAUUAUAUUGCAAAAUAGUAAGGAACAAUCAGAUGUGUUUUCUAGUCUCUGGAAAAGCAUGUUUCAAGAAAUUCAAUGAAAAGUUCAUCAUGCUUGCUUAGAUUGUUGAGAAGCAAAAACACUGAUGAACAUUUGGAAGCAAUGAGAAUGUAAUUCUAAUCAUACUCUUUUAAUAAUGUUGCAAAACUCUCCAAACACUACUCUGUGUGGAUGUCUUUCAGAAUAUGAUGAAUACUAGUAGUCUUAUUCUGCCCUUUUCUCUCUAUCACAAUAUAUACAUUCUAUAUUGCAUACACAUAUUUUCCAAAUAUUACAUAUAAUUUCAUGUAAUUUAUAGACCUAUUAAGGCCCAACCAUUUUCUUGGAUAGGGGAUUCUUUAGAAGUCCAGCUUAAAUAAAGCCCGUAUAGAAAGUUUUUUUAAAAUUUAUACAUAAUCACCUAAAGUAACCUUAUCUACUGAACUCUUAGUACAUGCUACUGGAACCUUUUAUCAUGUUUCUUCCUGGCUUGCAUUACAACACUGUUGACAUAUCUCAGCCUUACUUCUAGGCUUCUUUGAGAGCAUGACUCAUGUUUGUAUUCCUCACUGAGGUUGAAUGAAUAAGAGAAACUACAGUAGUAGGAAAAAACAGUACAUGUACAUAUCAAUGAAUAUGAAAGGGUCAAAUGGAUCUAUUAUAGUAAGCACAAAAUCAACUGACACCAGCAAAGUAAACCCAAAAUUUUUAAUGGUAUUUUAAUAGAUCAAGAGGAGCAAGCAGAUUUUUGAGACAGUUGUCUCCUACUUUCUCUAUCACAGGGAGUAAUUUUAAAAGAAAAAUGGAGGGUAAGUUUCUUUAAGAGAAAAUUGUAGUUUAAAACAGGUCAUGGGAUAAUUAGAAAUAAUUUAAUUUCUUUAGAGGAUUUUAAUCUUUCAACUGCUUGCAAUUAGAUCCUAAGGCAAUAAAAGAAUAAGGAGAUUUGGAAAACCAUUGUCUGUAAUCUCUGAAGAAAAGUGGACAUUAGGGGAGUCAGUUGAAAAGCAAAGCUAUCACCAUUUUCUAAAGAGGAAAAAGGUGAACCUCACAAACUAUAGACCAAAAAAAUAGGACAUCGAGAGAAAGAAUAUGAAGCUAGCAUAGGUUCACAAAGAAUGAGUCAAAUCAAACAACAUGCAUUUUUUAUUUAUAAAGCAUGACUUGUUCAUUGUCAAUUCAUGUUAGCUUAAUCAUUAGGCAUUAAUGCCAUCACUGCAAUGCAUAUGUCAGCAAUAAAUAAUCAAAGACCAGGCUUCCAUCAUUCUGUUUAAUAUCUUCAAGUAAUGCUUAAGUUUGCAAAUGCUCUUUUAACACAUUCUCCAUAUGCAGCCUGCCCAGCACUGCACACAAUAGACCUGUUACUUCCCCCUCACGAGCACUCCUAAUAUUUCAUGUGCUCAUCCAAUUGACUUCUCCCACUGGUGCCUCAUAUUGAAUUUGUAGAAUCACACCUGCUCCUUUUUCAAAACUCUUCUGAGUUUUUUCUUAAAUAAUUCACUGACCCCAAAGUUGUCAGAUAUUUGAAGACUACUCGCACAAUUUUAAUAUUAUAAAUGUAUAAUGUAAAUGUAAUUAAGAUUUGUAUAAUGUACGAUGUACUUUGGUAAAUAAAAGUAUGCUGUGAAUAAAUACGUAUGAUACAAUUCAAAAUUUUACAUAAAUAUGUGAUAAAAUUUAGCUCAUAUUCUUUUUUUUUUUCUUUGAGACGGAGUCUCACUCUGUUGCACCCAGGCUAGAGUGCAGCAGCAUGAUCUCAGCUCACUGCAACCUCUACCUCCUGGGUUCAAACAAUUCUCCUGCCUCAGCCUCCUGAGUAGCUGGGAUUACAGGUGCCCGCCACCAUGCCCAGCUAAUUUUUUUCUAUUUUUGUUGUUGUUGUUGUUUUUAGUAGAGACGGGGUUUCACCAUGUUGGUCAGGCUGGUCUUGAACUCCUGACCUCAGAUAAUCCACCUGCCUCGGCCUCCCAAAGUUCUGGGAUUACAGACGUGAACCACGGUGCCCGGCCUAGUUCAUGUUCUUUAAGGACAAUUAUGAAUAUUUUUAUGCACUGUUAAUUUUCAUUAAGAUAUUGAUCAAUUAAUAGCUAUAUAUGUUCUAUAAAUUAAUCCUAUCUAGUUUCAAUCUUAAAUUGUUUGCAUAUACCAAUCUAGUUUAUUGUUUGCAUAUAUUUUAUAGUGUAGAGAUUAGGCAUUUUAAUAAAAUUUUAAAAUUUCCAGGACAUACUGUUAAUGACUAUGCUUCCUACUAUAGGCCAUAAUUAAUUUUUUUCUAUUGUCAACAAUAUUUUGGUAGGGAUGAUCAGGAAAUAAGGAAAUGUUUCCUUCAUUUGUUAACAAUAGGUGUUUGGGGAUUUUAAAAUGAAAAUUGAAGAAGUAAAAGACACCAUAUAUUUAGUUUGUUUGAUUUCGUGGCUUCAAGAGUUCAAUAAUUUAUUGAAAUAUUUUACAGACCAAAGAACAACAGAUAUAUUACGUUUAUAAGCCCCCACAUAUUUUAAAGGAUAAUGGUUUAUAUAUGAAAAUUCCCUGAACCUACACUUCAUC